CAGCUCUCAGGGACACUGACUAGAGGGGAAAGUGUGCUUACUUCUGGGCUGACCUCCUUUCUGGCUCAAAUCCAAGAAAAAGAGGCACUUAGACCAGAUUGGAGCUUCUGUGAUAUGAGAGAAGGUAGAGGCCACCAAUAUCUAUACAACUCUAAAAGCUGUUUGCCAACUUCAGGGAUCUAGAAGAAGCUUUUUAAGAGGAGAUGGAAAGAUUAUCUGAUUUACUUGCGGAAGCUCAGCAAGAUUAUCGAUCGACCUUAUUCUAAUGAUUUUUUAUUCUCCAGCACACAUGAAAAAACAGCGGAUGCUAGAACAUCCUGGAUAGUCCCGUUUCCCCACACCUACCAGGAGAAUAGUAUCUACUCUUAAGGUCAAAUUGGUGGAGCAACCCUGAGCUUUAAGGAAACAUAAAGCUUAGAGAACAAUGUAAUAAUUUGGUAAAAAAAAUGUUGAAACUCAAAAUCAAUCUUCUGAAUGUCUAUUUUUGGAAUUCUGAAACUUGAAUGUUGGAAUAAAAUGUUUUAUGGACUUUGGCC
This 536-nucleotide long non-coding RNA is filed under the name Notechis scutatus (mainland tiger snake). Its description in RNAcentral is "lncRNA (ENSNSUG00000012745.1)". Lineage: Eukaryota; Metazoa; Chordata; Lepidosauria; Squamata; Elapidae. The record is from RNAcentral.